UACGUAGGGGGCAAGCGUUAUCCGGAUUUACUGGGUGUAAAGGGAGCGCAGACGGCAGUGCAAGUCUGAAGUGAAAGCUCAGGGCUCAACCCUGGAACUGCUUUGGAAACUGUACAGCUAGAGUAUCGGAGGGGUAAGCGGAAUUCCUAGUGUAGCGGUGAAAUGCGUAGAUAUUAGGAGGAACACCGGUGGCGAAGGCGGCUUACUGGACGAUAACUGACGUUGAGGCUCGAAAGCGUGGGGAG
This 245-nucleotide ribosomal RNA is filed under the name uncultured Syntrophococcus sp. RNAcentral describes it as "partial 16S ribosomal RNA". It matches the Rfam family "Bacterial small subunit ribosomal RNA", at positions 524 to 768 of the family's 1533-position model. The record is from RNAcentral. Lineage: Bacteria; Bacillati; Bacillota; Clostridia; Lachnospirales; Lachnospiraceae.